Molecule: non-coding RNA, 78 nt
Organism: Podarcis lilfordi (Lilford's wall lizard)
Lineage: Eukaryota; Metazoa; Chordata; Lepidosauria; Squamata; Lacertidae
Source: the annotation of a GenBank genome assembly
GGAGAAGGGUUGUAGCUCAGUGGCACAGCACCUGCUUUGCAUGCAGAAGGUCCCGGGUUCAAAUCCCCAGCACCUCCA